UACCUUUAACACUCACUGCGAAGGUCUGC
This 29-nucleotide non-coding RNA is filed under the name Homo sapiens (human). The record is from RNAcentral. Lineage: Eukaryota; Metazoa; Chordata; Mammalia; Primates; Hominidae.